RNAcentral lists this long non-coding RNA (4407 nucleotides) under Homo sapiens (human). RNAcentral describes it as "HSALNT0165450". The record is from RNAcentral. Lineage: Eukaryota; Metazoa; Chordata; Mammalia; Primates; Hominidae.
UUUCUUUAUCCACUCAUUGGUUGAUGGGCACUUUGGUUGGCUCCAUAUUUUUGCAAUUGCAAAUGUGCUGCUAUAAACUUAUACCAAAAGCCAGGUACUGUAAUUUCAUUUAAUUACCACAGAAAUCCUAUGGUGGGGGAAAAGACAUUGUUUUACUGUCUCAAAAGGUUAAAACCUGAAACAAGUGGCUCAAUAUAUUGAGCUAGUGUUGCAGUCUUGCAAAUGCACCUUUAUGUAGCAGUUUCUCUUGUGAGGUAUCACCCUGAGUCCUUCAUCUCACCUCCAAGAUGACUGAGGAGCACUGACACACGGGUGAGGUUGGAGCAAAACUUUUAUAAGCGAAAGGAGAAAGCUCUCUGCAGAAGAGUCUGAGUGGAUUGCCGGGUCACAGCUGAAUGCAAAAAGCUUUUAUAAAAAACUGCUCUCCUCCCUGUAAUUGUUUGAGGAGUAACUUUUCUUAUCAGUAACGCUGUCUGUGCAACUCCCUUUAUCCAGCUGUGGGAUGUUUCUAAGUAAGCACAAAGUGCUGCUUCUCUUGUUCAUGUAACUGUGGGUUUGUUUUAGGUAAGCCUCCUUCCUCCCUGUGCAAGUUCCCACGGAGCCCACUGUGUAUAUGCCUGAAAAGGGGAGGAAACGUUUUCCUGGAGCUAAUUAUACAAAGAACAAAAAUGCUUCUAUGCCUCACUGGCUCCUUAUCAGCCCCUGAGCUUAUCUGUGCAGCUGCAGCAGCUGUGAUUUUUCAGGCAGGCAUUUCCCCCGGGGCCCAGCCUUAACUAUUUACCUAACUGGUUUUUCCCUACCUUCUCCCUCACUAGUGAGUGGCAGGACUAGGUUUUGCAUAUUAGGAAAGGCUGAUUGAGAAGCUCACACUCUUUCCCACAAGUCCAGUAAGCCUCAUUGGCUCAGGUGGAGAUGAUGUUUACUCCUGGAGGUCCGUGUUGGGAGCAUCUGCAGAGAUCACAGAGAUUUAGGAACGUUGCAAGUAGAGUCAUCUCCAAGAUACCCAGGAGGUAUCAGCCAUACACUGUUGCAGACACCGCUGACAAGGAACGAGCUUCUUUCUGCUUUGGUCCUAGAUACGUGGAAGAGUUUUCAGCUUCCUAGUUUGCAUUAAAUUUCCAGAAUACAUCAUGCACCUCUUCUUUAGUUUCACCCAUGGAAGCACCAGAUGAAGAACCUUCCCAGAGAACAAUGUGUGUGACAUGUCCAUCCAUUCUGCCUUCUCCUAAGAGUUUGGACAGCUAAUCCGUUCACCGUCUAAAGGAGGGAAGGUAGAGGGUUAGAUUCUGCUGCUGGAUCUUUUUUAUUAAACAAUUGUCAUAUAACUGUGGUUCUCAUGGAUAAAACCACUCUCUCAAAAUUAGGAAAAAUCAAAAUCUGUCUUUCAUGAAUUUACUUUCUCUUUCCACAUAUAAUACUCUCAGUUGUCAGAACCACCAGGCCUCUAGAUAUGAAGAUUUUCAGUGAGAUUAAAUAAUGUAAUGGAAGGGGUUAGGGAAUCUGUCGGCCCCCCAACCCCACCCCACCCAACCUUGUCACUUUUGACGCUAUGUGUUCACAGCUGCCUUGAGGGCCUACACUACGGAUACCGCAUGUCCUUAAGGUUACUUUUAUGCUUUUAUCUUUUUGACCUUUUGAUACAAGACAGGAAUUUAUCUUUAAUAUUUUUAAAGAAUAUUAAAAAUCAUUCUUUUAGUACUUCUCACCUUUCUUUCCUUCUUCUCUUCUCUUUUUAAACAGCUUUGUUGAGAUAUAAUUCAAAUGCCAUACAAUUCACCCAUUUAAAAUAUAUAAUUGGGAGGUUAAAGUAUACAAUUGAGAGGUUUUUAGUAUAUCUGCAGAUAUGUGCAACAAUCACCACAUAUCUGCAACCACCACCACUCAAUUUUAGAACAUUUUUAUCACCUCAAAAAGAAACUUUGUACCCUUUAAAUACAACCCCCCAUCCCUCACUCCAACUUCCAGCCCUAUGCAACCAAGUUAACUUUAAUCCAUCCCUAUAGAUUGCCUAUUUUCAACAUUAUGUGAAUAGAAUCAUAUGAUAUGUGGCCUUUUGUGACUUUCUCCUUUCACAUCAUAUAGUGCUUUUUACAGUUGAUUCAUGUUGUAGCAUGCAUCAGUAUUAGAUUUCAUUAGCCAAAUAAUCCCAUUAUAUAAAUAUAUGAUAUUUUGUUUAUCCAUUUAUCAGUUAAUAAACAUUUGGGCUGUUUCCAUCUUUCAGCAAUUAUGAACAAUGUUACUUUCAACAUUUGGGUACAUGUUUGUGUGUCAAUGUAUGUUUUCAUUUAUCUCAGGCAUAUACCUAGGAGUAAAAUUGAUAUAUUAUAUAACACCAUGUUUGAUAAAUUGACUUUUUAAUAGCUAGACUGUUUUCCAAAGUGGUUGCACCAUUUUACAUUCUGACCAGCAGCGUAAGAAGGUUCUGAUUUCUCCACAUCCUCACCAAAACUUUUUGUAAUCUGACUUGUUCAUUCCAGCUGUCCUAAUGAUUGUGAAGGAGUGUCUCGUUGUGAUUUUGAUUUGCUGUUCCUGAAUGAUGACUAAUUAAAAUGGGCAUCUGUUUAUGUGCUUAUUUACCAUUUCUUAUUUCUUUUUGGAGAAACAGCUUUCUAUUCAGAUGCUUUGACCAUUUUUAGCUGGGUUACUUGCUUUUUCAUUACUGAUUUGUAAGAGCUCAUUAUAUAUUUUGGAUACAAGUCCAUUAUUAGAUAUCUGAUUUGAAAAAAAAUUCUCCAAUUCUGUAGGUUUUAUUUUUCAGUUUCUUGACAAUAUGCUUUGAAGGACUAAGUUUUUAAUAUUGAUGAAGUUCAAUUUAUCUAUUUUUGAUGCUCAUGUUUUUGGUGUCAUAUCUAAGAAUCAUUUACCAAAUUCAAUGUCAUGUGUAUUUAGCCCUGUUUUCUACUAAUAGCUCUAGAGUUUUAGCUCCCACAUUUAGUUCUUGAUUGAUUUUAGUUUUUGUAUAGUAUGCAAAGUAAGGGUCCAUCUUCAUUCUUUUUAUUUUGCAUGUGACUAUCCCGUUGUCCCAUUACUAUGUUGAAAAGGCUAGUCUUUUCCAAAUAAUAGUCUUGCUGCCCUUGUUGAAAAUCAAUUGACCGUUCAUAUACGGAUUUAUUUUUGGACUCUCAAUUCUAUUCCACGUAUCUAUAUGUCUAUCUUUACACCAGUUAAAGAUAGACAUUUAAUUUAAUUAUUUAAAUUAAAAUAGUACAUCAGAAUUUUUUCUUUCCUUUUCUUUUCUUUUUUUUUUUUUGAGGCUGAGUUUUGCUCUUGUUGCCCAGGCUGGAGUGCAAUGGUGCAAUCUCGGCUCACCACAACCUCUGCCCACUGGGUUCAAGCAAUUUUCUUGCCUCAGCCUCCCAAGUAGUUGGGAUUACAGGCAUGUGCCACCACAUCUGGCUAAUUUUGUAUUUUUAGUAGAGAUGGGGUUUCUCCACGUUGGUCAGGCUGGUCUCAAACUCCCAACCUCAGGUGAUUUGCCCACCUCGGCCUCCGAAAGUGCCAGAAAAUAUUUUCUUAAUGCAAAUACUUUCUUCGUGCAUACUUUCUUGAUUGUCAUUGCUUAGUAGAAAGUUUUGAAAUCAGAAAGCCUGAGUCCUCCCACAUCAUUCUUUUUUAGGAUUGUUUUAGCUAUUCCAGGUCCCUUGUCAAGUCCAUUUGAAUUUAAAAUCACCUUUUAAAUUUUUGCAAAGAAGUUAACUGGGAUUCUGAUAGUGAUUAUGUCAAAAGUUGUAGAAUGUUUGGAAAAGUAUUGCCAUCUUAACAAGGUUAAUUCUUCUAACCCAUGUAUUUUAUUUAAAUUUUUAUUGACUUUUAAAUAAUGUUUUUGUAUUAUUUGAUUAUAAGUUUUGAACAUCUUUUGUUAAAUUUAAUCUUAAAUAUUUUAUUCAUUUUGAUACUAUUGUGAAUUAAAUUGUUUUUCUAAUUUCAUUUUCAGAUUGUGUCUUUCAGAUGUAUAGAAAUACAAUAGAUAAAUAAUUCUGGCCAUUAACCUUUUAUGCUUCAACCUUGCUGAACACUUUUUUUUUCUUUUCUUUUUUUUUUUUUUUUUUUGAGACAGGGUUUCACUCUUAUUGCCCAGGCUGGAGUGCAACGGCACAAUCUCAGCUCACCACAACCUCCGCCUGCUGGGUUCAAGCAAUUCUUCUGCCUCAGCCUGACAAGUAGCUGAGAUUACAGGCAUGCGCCACCACACCUAAUUUUGUAUUUUUAGUAGAGACAAGUUUUCUCCAUGUUGGUCAGGCUGGUGUCGAACUCCUGACCUCAGGUAAUCCGCCUGCCUGGGCCUUUCAAAGUGCUGGGAUUAUAAGCCACAUUUUUAAUUCUUAGUUUUUCAGUAGAUUCUUGAAAUUCUUAAUAUAGAAGAUUAUGUAUUUUUGGUUUCUCUAUUCCUCCUUUACUGGUUUAUUU